ACAGACUAUGAACAUCUUUAAGGCUCUAGACACAUACUAUGAAAUUAGUUGCUAGAAAAUCUGAGAUAAAUUAUGUUGCCAGUACUAAAUAUAGUUGUGCCUGUCUUCUGGCAAUGAUUUUUUGUUUGUGUAAUCUCUGCCAAAUCAUCAGGAGAGAAAUUUUUCCAGUAGUUUGUUAUUGUUCUCUCACCAAAUUACCACCAAUUUGAGACAUAAAACAAUACUCUUAUUAUCUUAGCGUUCUAUGGAUCAGAAGUUCAGGCACAGUAUGGUUCAGCUGUGUCUCUGGUCCUGGUUUCGCAAGGCUGAAAUCAAAGUGUGGUGAUAAGAGACCAAGUCUUUAUGGAAACACCACCAGUAACUGAGAGCUCAGAAGACUGAGGCAUUCGCUCUAAAAUGAAGCUGCCCUGGAUUUUCCAAGGCAGGCAUCUGACACCUUUAACAACAAAGGAAAGAACACAUAUAGGAAGAACAUAAUAGUCUCAUGUAUGGAUAAAUGGUGAAAAGCAAUCAAUGUAUUCAUCAAAAUACUACUGUGAUGAGAAACAAGGUAUAAAAACACUGAAGCCUUCUAGAAGAAAACAAUCUAUUUCUGUAGACAUGAUCUAAACCUUGGAACAAUUGUAAAAUCUGUCCUGUGUCAAUACUUAAUGAAUUGCUCAAUGAAUUCUACAGGUAGUAAUAGCCAAUAAACAUUUGAAGUGGAGAGAUCAAUGAAGAAUGGAGCAGUAAAAGAAAGCCUAAUGAAGGAGGUACUCCUAGAAAGUCAGCUAACAAAUCAAAAACUGAUCUAAGACAAAUGGCAUUCAGAAAAGAUUCCUCUUUCCUCUUCUCCCCACUUCUCUUCCUCCUCCAAGCCAGACUGGGAUACAAGUAAUAUAUAUAAAACAUUCCAGCAGCUCACAUUAAUGAGUUCAUGAAAACCUAAUCGUUAUCUACCCUCUAUAUUAAAAUUCUAUCUCACAGGUUAA
Non-coding RNA from Macaca mulatta (Rhesus monkey), 971 nucleotides. NCBI's taxonomy places the organism in Eukaryota, Metazoa, Chordata, Mammalia, Primates, Cercopithecidae. The record is from RefSeq and is a predicted model, not a curated record.